UACAGGGGGGGCAAGCGUUGUUCGGAAUUACUGGGCGUAAAGGGCGCGUAGGCGGCCUGCUAAGUCGAACGUGAAAUCCCCGGGCUCAACCCGGGAACUGCGUCCGAUACUGGCAGGCUUGAAUCCGGGAGAGGGAUGUGGAAUUCCAGGUGUAGCGGUGAAAUGCGUAGAUAUCGGGAGGAAUACCGAUGGCGAAGGCAGGUCUCUGGGCUGACACUGACGCUCAUGCACGAAAGCGUGGGGAGCAAACAGG
Molecule: ribosomal RNA, 253 nt
Filed under: uncultured bacterium
Lineage: Bacteria
Description: partial 16S ribosomal RNA
Rfam family: Bacterial small subunit ribosomal RNA
Source: RNAcentral